This 1059-nucleotide ribosomal RNA is filed under the name Geobacillus sp. A05. RNAcentral's name for it is "bacterial SSU rRNA". It matches the Rfam family "Bacterial small subunit ribosomal RNA", at positions 45 to 1085 of the family's 1533-position model. The record is from RNAcentral. Lineage: Bacteria; Bacillati; Bacillota; Bacilli; Caryophanales; Anoxybacillaceae.
CGCCUAAUAAUGCAAGUCGAGCGGACCGAACGAGAGCUUGCUCUUGUUCGGUCAGCGGCGGACGGGUGAGUAACACGUGGGCAACCUGCCCGCAAGACCGGGAUAACUCCGGGAAACCGGAGCUAAUACCGGAUAACACCAAAGACCGCAUGGUCUUUGGUUGAAAGGCGGCUUCGGCUGCCACUUGCGGAUGGGCCCGCGGCGCAUUAGCUAGUUGGUGAGGUAACGGCUCACCAAGGCGACGAUGCGUAGCCGGCCUGAGAGGGUGACCGGCCACACUGGGACUGAGACACGGCCCAGACUCCUACGGGAGGCAGCAGUAGGGAAUCUUCCGCAAUGGACGAAAGUCUGACGGAGCGACGCCGCGUGAGCGAAGAAGGCCUUCGGGUCGUAAAGCUCUGUUGUGAGGGACGAAGGAGCGCCGUUUGAAUAAGGCGGCGCGGUGACGGUACCUCACGAGAAAGCCCCGGCUAACUACGUGCCAGCAGCCGCGGUAAUACGUAGGGGGCGAGCGUUGUCCGGAAUUAUUGGGCGUAAAGCGCGCGCAGGCGGUCCUUUAAGUCUGAUGUGAAAGCCCACGGCUCAACCGUGGAGGGUCAUUGGAAACUGGGGGACUUGAGUGCAGGAGAGGAGAGCGGAAUUCCACGUGUAGCGGUGAAAUGCGUAGAGAUGUGGAGGAACACCAGUGGCGAAGGCGGCUCUCUGGCCUGUAACUGACGCUGAGGCGCGAAAGCGUGGGGAGCAAACAGGAUUAGAUACCCUGGUAGUCCACGCCGUAAACGAUGAGUGCUAAGUGUUAGAGGGGUCACACCCUUUAGUGCUGUAGCUAACGCGAUAAGCACUCCGCCUGGGGGAGUACGGCCGCAAGGCUGAAACUCAAAGGAGUUGACGGGGGCCCGCACAAGCGGUGGAGCAUGUGGUUUAAUUCGAAGCAACGCGAAGAACCUUACCAUGUCUUGACAUCGCCUGACAACCCAAAGAUUGGGCGUUCCCCCUUCCGGGGGACAGGGUGACGGUGUGCAUGGUGUCGUCAGCUCUGUCUGAGAUGUUGGAUUAAGU